UACGUAGGUGGCAAGCGUUGUCCGGAUUUACUGGGCGUAAAGAGCGCGCAGGCGGCUGGCCAAGUCCGAUGUGAAAGCUCCCGGCUUAACUGGGAAACUGCAUCGGAAACUGGUCGGCUUGAAGGUGGGAGAGGGUAGCGGAAUUCCCGGUGUAGUGGUGAAAUGCGUAGAUAUCGGGAGGAACACCAGUGGCGAAGGCGACUACCUGGCCCAUUCUUGACGCUGAGGCGCGAAAGCUAGGGGAGCGAACGGG
This 253-nucleotide ribosomal RNA is filed under the name uncultured bacterium. RNAcentral describes it as "partial 16S ribosomal RNA". It matches the Rfam family "Bacterial small subunit ribosomal RNA", at positions 524 to 776 of the family's 1533-position model. The record is from RNAcentral.